GGUAACGUAGAGUGCUUGCACUCUGACGACGACCGGCGUACGGGUGCGUAACGCGUAUACAAUCUGCCUUACACUGGGGUAUAGCCCAGAGAAAUUUGGAUUAAUCCCCCAUGGUAUCAUAUUAUGGCAUCAUAAAAUGAUUAAAGGUUACGGUGUAAGAUGAGUAUGCGUCCUAUUAGUUAGUUGGUGAGGUAACGGCUCACCAAGACGACGAUAGGUAGGGGCCCUGAGAGGGGGAUCCCCCACACUGGUACUGAGACACGGACCAGACUCCUACGGGAGGCAGCAGUGAGGAAUAUUGGACAAUGGGCGAGAGCCUGAUCCAGCCAUGCCGCGUGCAGGAAGACUGCCCUAUGGGUUGUAAACUGCUUUUAUACAGGAAGAAACACUCCCUCGUGAGGGAGCUUGACGGUACUGUAAGAAUAAGGACCGGCUAACUCCGUGCCAGCAGCCGCGGUAAUACGGAGGGUCCGAGCGUUAUCCGGAAUCAUUGGGUUUAAAGGGUCCGUAGGCGGGCAAUUAAGUCAGGGGUGAAAGUUUGCGGCUCAACCGUAAAAUUGCCUUUGAUACUGGUUGUCUUGAAUUAGUGUGAAGUGGUUAGAAUGAGUAGUGUAGCGGUGAAAUGCAUAGAUAUUACUCAGAAUACCAAUUGCGAAGGCAGAUCACUAACACUAUAUUGACGCUGAUGGACGAAAGCGUGGGGAGCGAACAGGAUUAGAUACCCUGGUAGUCCACGCUGUAAACGAUGGAUACUAGCUGUUCGAUCUUCGGAUUGAGUGGCUAAGCGAAAGUGAUAAGUAUCCCACCUGGGGAGUACGUUCGCAAGAAUG
RNAcentral lists this ribosomal RNA (830 nucleotides) under uncultured bacterium. Its description in RNAcentral is "bacterial SSU rRNA". It matches the Rfam family "Bacterial small subunit ribosomal RNA", at positions 68 to 896 of the family's 1533-position model. The record is from RNAcentral.